CCGAGUUGUAAUCUAGAGAAGUGUUMCCUGUGCUGAACCGUGUACAAGUCUCCUGGAAUGGAGCAUCAUAGAGGGUGAGAAUCCCGUCUUUGACAUGGACUAUCUGUACGUUAUGGUGCGCUCUCAAAGAGUCGAGUUGUUUGGGAAUGCAGCUCAAAAUGGGUGGUAAAUGCCAUCUAAAGCUAAAUAUUGGCGAGAGACCGAUAGCGAACAAGUACCGUGAGGGAAAGAUGAAAAGAACUUUGGAAAGAGAGUUAAACAGUACGUGAAAUUGCUGAAAGGGAAACGCUUGAAGUCAGUCGCGUUGACUAGAAAUCAGCCUUGCUCUUGCUUGGUGUACUUUCUUGUUGAUGGGUCAGCAUCAAUUUUGACCAUUGGAUAAAGUCUCUGGGAAUGUGGCAUCUUAGGAUGUGUUAUAGCCCAGGGUCGCAUACAGUGGUUGGGAUUGAGGAACUCAGCACGCCGCAAGGCCGGGUUUCGACCACGUUCGUGCUUAGGAUGCUGGCAUAAUGGCUUUAAUCGACCCGUCUUGAAACACGGACCAAGGAGUCUAACAUGCCUGCGAGUGUUUGGGUGGAAAAACCCAUGCGCGAAAUGAAAGUGAAAGUUGAGAUCCCCCUCGAAAGGGAGCAUUGACGCCCGGACCAGACCUUUUGUGACGGAUCCGCGGUAGAGCAUGUAUGUUGGG
RNAcentral lists this ribosomal RNA (688 nucleotides) under Inocybe sp. 13 TM03_501. RNAcentral's name for it is "eukaryotic LSU rRNA". It matches the Rfam family "Eukaryotic large subunit ribosomal RNA", at positions 138 to 813 of the family's 3401-position model. Lineage: Eukaryota; Fungi; Basidiomycota; Agaricomycetes; Agaricales; Inocybaceae. The record is from RNAcentral.